GAGCAUUUUCCCGAUUUUGUAAAACCUGUUCGUGUUAAAUUAAAAGCAGAAGGAAGCAAAACAUACGUAUUGGUUCAUAACAAAGAAACGCUUGCUUUCCUGGCAAACCAGGGAAAUAUCCCCAUUCAUACCUGGCUUUCGCGGAAGGGGA
Molecule: unclassified non-coding RNA, 151 nt
Filed under: plant metagenome
Description: partial contains 5.8S ribosomal RNA, internal transcribed spacer 2, and large subunit ribosomal RNA
Source: RNAcentral